AAUAAGUGCAGUUUUAGCACUGUUCAUGUCAAACAUUUGACCGUUCGUCUUAUUUGAAAAAAAAAUUAUUAUUAGUAUUUUUAUUGCUAUUACAUGAUAAAACAUGAGUAGUACUUCAUGUGUGACUAUUUUUUUUAAAAUUUUCAUAAUUUUUUCAAAUAAGACGGACGGUCAAAACGCUAAACAUGGAUAUCUAUGGCUGCACUUAUU
Molecule: non-coding RNA, 210 nt
Organism: Oryza nivara
Lineage: Eukaryota; Viridiplantae; Streptophyta; Magnoliopsida; Poales; Poaceae
Source: Rfam